RNAcentral lists this transfer RNA (68 nucleotides) under Eoscarta assimilis. RNAcentral's name for it is "tRNA-Cys". Lineage: Eukaryota; Metazoa; Arthropoda; Insecta; Hemiptera; Cercopidae. The record is from RNAcentral.
AGGCUUUAUAGUCAAUAAAUGAUUUUAGAUUGCAAUUCUGAGGUAGAAAUAAAUAAUUCUAAGGCUUA